RNAcentral lists this non-coding RNA (27 nucleotides) under Mus musculus (house mouse). The record is from RNAcentral. Lineage: Eukaryota; Metazoa; Chordata; Mammalia; Rodentia; Muridae.
UGAUCAAUUAUCCAGGAGUACACAAAC